CAUUCGAACGCACAUUGCAGCCAUUGGAUAUCCAUUGGCUUUGUUUGUCUGAGCGUCGUUAUCUCUUGUUAAAGAUAUAAAAAAUCUUUCGUGAAUUAUUGAACAAUUUCUCGUCAGAUUAAAUACGUAACGUUUAAAGCUAACUCGUGGAGCGAAUGGCACUAAUGUGUGGUACGUUCCAAAGAGUAUUUUGGCGUCUCCAGCUAAAUUACUCCAGUACUUCCAAUGGUCCAUUAAUACAAAGCUAAACAGAGUGGAGCUACGUAAUAAAUUUUAAAAUUUAGUCUUUUGUCGACCUCAGAUCAAGCGAGAUUACCCGCUGAAUUUAAG
This 330-nucleotide ribosomal RNA is filed under the name Geomylichus nelsoni. RNAcentral describes it as "eukaryotic LSU rRNA". Lineage: Eukaryota; Metazoa; Arthropoda; Arachnida; Sarcoptiformes; Listrophoridae. The record is from RNAcentral.